AACGCACAUUGCGCCCUCUGGUAUUCCGGGGGGCAUGCCUGUUCGAGCGUCAUUACAACCCUCAAGCUUUGCUUGGUAUUGGGUGUUACCAUCAGUGGUACACCUCAAAAUCAUUGGCGGUGCCAUCUGGCUUCUAGCGUAGUAAUACUUCUCGCUAUGGAGUUUGGGUGAGCGCUUGCCAUCAACCCCUAAUUUUCAAAGGUUGACCUCGGAUCAGGUAGGGAUACCCGCUGAACUUAA
RNAcentral lists this unclassified non-coding RNA (240 nucleotides) under uncultured fungus. Its description in RNAcentral is "sequence contains ITS2". The stretch from base 1 to 52 matches the Rfam family "5.8S ribosomal RNA", at positions 103 to 154 of the family's 154-position model. Lineage: Eukaryota; Fungi. The record is from RNAcentral.